ACGAACGCUGGCGGCGUGCUUAACACCUGCAAGUCGAACGGAAAGGCCUCUUUCGGGGGGUACUCGAGUGGCGAACGGGUGAGUAACACGUGAGUAACCUGCCCUUGACUUUGGGAUAACUUCAGGAAACUGGGGCUAAUACCGGAUAGGAGCUCCUGCUGCAUGGUGGGGGUUGGAAAGUUUCGGCGGUUGGGGAUGGACUCGCGGCUUAUCAGCUUGUUGGUGGGGUAGUGGCUUACCAAGGCUUUGACGGGUAGCCGGCCUGAGAGGGUGACCGGCCACAUUGGGACUGAGAUACGGCCCAGACUCCUACGGGAGGCAGCAGUGGGGAAUAUUGCACAAUGGGUGGAAGCCUGAUGCAGCAACGCCGGGUGCGGGAUGACGGCCUUCGGGUUGUAAACCGCUUUCGCUCAUGACGAAGCUUUGUGUGACGGUAGUGGGUAAAGAAGCACCGGCUAACUACGUG
Molecule: ribosomal RNA, 466 nt
Filed under: uncultured bacterium
Lineage: Bacteria
Description: partial 16S ribosomal RNA
Rfam family: Bacterial small subunit ribosomal RNA
Source: RNAcentral